AAAAAUUAAAAUUAAAAUAUUAAAGUAGUAAUAGUUAUGAUCUUGAAAUUUAAAAAAUUUGGCGGUAUUUUAGUCUAUUCAGAGGAACCUGUUUAAUAAUCGAUAGUCCACGUUGGACCUUACUUAAAUUUGUAAAUUAGUUUAUAUAUCGUUGUUUAUAGAAUAUUUUAUAAAAAUAAUAAUUUUCAAAAUUUUUUAUUAAAAUUUAUAUCAGAUCAAGAUGUAGCUUAUGUUUAAGUUUAAAAUGGGUUACAAUUUUAUUAAAAUUGGAUUUAAUAUUGAAAUAUAUUUUUAAAAUUGGAUUUGAUAGUAAAUUUAUAAAGAUAAAUAAAUUGAUUUUAGCUCUAAAAUAUG
Molecule: ribosomal RNA, 354 nt
Filed under: Pipunculus apicarinus
Lineage: Eukaryota; Metazoa; Arthropoda; Insecta; Diptera; Pipunculidae
Description: partial 12S ribosomal RNA
Source: RNAcentral